GUGCUCAUUUCAGCAGCACAUACACUAAAAUUGGAACAAUACAGAAAAAAUUAGCAUGGCCCUUGUGCAAGGAUGACACGCAAAUUUAUGAAGCAUUUCAUAAUUUU
Bos grunniens (domestic yak) is the source of this 107-nucleotide small nuclear RNA. Lineage: Eukaryota; Metazoa; Chordata; Mammalia; Artiodactyla; Bovidae. The record is from Ensembl.